GACGAACGCUGGCGGCGUGCUUAACACAUGCAAGUCGAACGGAAAGGCCCUGCGUUUGUGCGGUUCUCGAGUGGCGAACGCGUGAGUAACACGUGAGUAACCUGCCCUUCACUUUGGGAUAACUUCACGAAACUGGGGCUAAUACCGGAUAGGAUCUCCUGCUGCAUGGUGGGCGUUGGAAAGUUUCGGCGGUUGGGGAUGGACUCGCGGCUUAUCAGCUUGUUGGUUGGGUAGUGGCUUACCCAGGCUUUGACGGGUAGGCCGCCUGAGAGGGUGACCGGGGACAUGGGGACUGAGAGACGGACCAGUGGGGAAUGGGAGGCAACGGUGGGGAGCAUUGCACAAUGGGCGCGAGUGUGAUACGGAAGCGCUGGGUGCGGGAUGACGGCUUUUGGGGUGUAAACAGCUGUCGCCUGUGACGAAGCGUGAGUGACGGUAAUGAGUAAAGAAGCACCGGCUAACUACGUG
Molecule: ribosomal RNA, 468 nt
Filed under: uncultured bacterium
Lineage: Bacteria
Description: partial 16S ribosomal RNA
Rfam family: Bacterial small subunit ribosomal RNA
Source: RNAcentral